AACGCACCUUGCGCUCCUUGGUAUUCCGAGGAGCAUGCCUGUUUGAGUGUCAUUAAAUUCUCAACCCCGAGCGGAUUUGUUUUCCGUCUCGGAGGCUUGGAUCGUGGAGCGUGCUGGCUUUUUUACCUGCUUUGCGGGCUAGGGUCGGCUCCUCUGAAAUGCAUUCGCGGAAUUGACUCUCGGUCCGUUUCGGUCAUCGGUGUGAUAAGACGUUACGCCGUUGGCUAGGGCUUCGAGGGACCCGCAUACAGUGGUCUUCGGACGACUUUUUGACCAUUUGACCUCAAAUCAGGUAGGACUACCCGCUGAACUUAA
Molecule: unclassified non-coding RNA, 315 nt
Filed under: uncultured fungus
Lineage: Eukaryota; Fungi
Description: partial contains 5.8S ribosomal RNA, internal transcribed spacer 2, and large subunit ribosomal RNA
Rfam family: 5.8S ribosomal RNA (bases 1-52)
Source: RNAcentral